GGACCCGCACAAGCGGUGGAGCAUGUGGUUUAAUUCGAUGCAACGCGAAAAACCUUACCUACUCUUGACAUACUUGGGAGCUCUUGUAAUGAGAGUGUGCCUUUUGGAACCAAGAUACAGGUGCUGCAUGGCUGUCGUCAGCUCGUGUCGUGAGAUGUUCCGUUAAGUCGGAUAACGAGCGCAACCCCUUACCCCUUUAUUUGCCAGCGAUUCGGUCGGGAACUAUAAGGGGACUGCCGGUGAUAAACCGGAGGAAGGUGAGGACGACGUCAAGUCAUCAUGGCCCUUACGAGUAGGGCUACACACGUGCUACAAUGGGGAAUACAGACGGACGCUAAGCCGCAAGGUGGUGCU
This 354-nucleotide ribosomal RNA is filed under the name uncultured bacterium. Its description in RNAcentral is "bacterial SSU rRNA". It matches the Rfam family "Bacterial small subunit ribosomal RNA", at positions 917 to 1269 of the family's 1533-position model. The record is from RNAcentral.